This 253-nucleotide ribosomal RNA is filed under the name uncultured bacterium. RNAcentral's name for it is "partial 16S ribosomal RNA". It matches the Rfam family "Bacterial small subunit ribosomal RNA", at positions 524 to 776 of the family's 1533-position model. The record is from RNAcentral.
UACGUAGGGUGCGAGCGUUAAUCGGAAUUACUGGGCGUAAAGCGUGCGCAGGCGGUUCGUUAAGUUCGUUGUGAAAGCCCCGGGCUCAACCUGGGAACUGCAAUGGAAACUGGCGGGCUUGAGUGUGGCAGAGGGGGGUGGAAUUCCGCGUGUAGCAGUGAAAUGCGCAGAUAUCAGGAGGAACACCGGUGGCGAAGGCGGGUCUCUGGGCCGAUACUGACGCUGAGGAGCGAAAGCGUGGGGAGCGAACAGG